RNAcentral lists this ribosomal RNA (257 nucleotides) under uncultured bacterium. RNAcentral describes it as "partial 16S ribosomal RNA". It matches the Rfam family "Bacterial small subunit ribosomal RNA", at positions 524 to 776 of the family's 1533-position model. The record is from RNAcentral.
UACGAAGGGGGCUAGCGUUGCUCGGAAUCACUGGGCGUAAAGCGCACGUAGGCGGAUUGUUAAGUCAGGGGGUGAAAUCCUGGAGCUCAACUCCAGAACUGCCUUUUGAUACUGGCAAUCUCGAGUCCGGGAGAGGUGAGUGGAACUCCGAGUGUAGAGGUGAAAUUCGUAGAUAUUCGGUAAGAACACCAGUGGCGAAGGCGGCUCACUGGCCCGGUACUGACGCUGAGACGCGAAAAGCGUGGGGAGCAAACAGG